UGGGGAAUUUUGGACAAUGGGCGAAAGCCUGAUCCAGCAAUGCCGCGUGUGUGAAGAAGGCCUUCGGGUUGUAAAGCACUUUUGUCCGGAAAGAAAUCCUUGGCUCUAAUACAGUCGGGGGAUGACGGUACCGGAAGAAUAAGCACCGGCUAACUACGUGCCAGCAGCCGCGGUAAUACGUAGGGUGCAAGCGUUAAUCGGAAUUACUGGGCGUAAAGCGUGCGCAGGCGGUUUGCUAAGACCGAUGUGAAAUCCCCGGGCUCAACCUGGGAACUGCAUUGGUGACUGGCAGGCUAGAGUAUGGCAGAGGGGGGUAGAAUUCCACGUGUAGCAGUGAAAUGCGUAGAGAUGUGGAGGAAUACCGAUGGCGAAGGCAGCCCCCUGGGCCAAUACUGACGCUCAUGCACGAAAGCGUGGGGAGCAAACAGGAUUAGAUACCCCCGGUAGUCCACGCCCUAAACGAUGUCAACUGUUGUUGGGGAUUCAUUUCCUUAGUAACGUAGCUAACGCGUGAAGUUGACCGCCUGGGGAGUACGGUCGCAAGAUUAAAACUCAAAUGAAUUGAC
RNAcentral lists this ribosomal RNA (566 nucleotides) under uncultured bacterium. Its description in RNAcentral is "partial 16S ribosomal RNA". It matches the Rfam family "Bacterial small subunit ribosomal RNA", at positions 355 to 914 of the family's 1533-position model. The record is from RNAcentral.